AACGAUGACUACUGAGACUCUAUCUAAUGUGAAUGUUAAU
RNAcentral lists this non-coding RNA (40 nucleotides) under Trypanosoma brucei brucei. The record is from RNAcentral. Lineage: Eukaryota; Euglenozoa; Kinetoplastea; Trypanosomatida; Trypanosomatidae.